This 531-nucleotide ribosomal RNA is filed under the name uncultured bacterium. Its description in RNAcentral is "bacterial SSU rRNA". It matches the Rfam family "Bacterial small subunit ribosomal RNA", at positions 1 to 526 of the family's 1533-position model. The record is from RNAcentral.
AUUAGAGUUUGAUCCUGGCUCAGGAUGAACGCUAGCGACAGGCCUAACACAUGCAAGUCGAGGGGCAGCACAAGGGUAGCAAUACUCUGGUGGCGACCGGCGCACGGGUGAGUAUCGCGUAUGCAACCUACCUACCACAGGGGGAUAGCCUUCCGAAAGGGAGAUUAAUACCGCAUGAAACAGGGGUCCCGCAUGGGGAUAUUUGUUAAAGAUUUAUCGGUGGUAGAUGGGCAUGCGUUCCAUUAGCUAGUUGGCGGGGUAACGGCCCACCAAGGCGACGAUGGAUAGGGGAACUGAGAGGUUUAUCCCCCACACUGGGACUGAGACACGGCCCAGACUCCUACGGGAGGCAGCAGUGAGGAAUAUUGGUCAAUGGGCGGGAGCCUGAACCAGCCAAGUCGCGUGGAGGACGACGGUUCUAUGGAUUGUGAACUCCUUUUGCACCGGGGUAAAACGGGGGACGUGUCCCCCCUUGCAAGUACAGUGCGAAUAAGCAUCGGCUAACUCCGUGCCAGCAGCCGCGGUAAUAAU